RNAcentral lists this ribosomal RNA (500 nucleotides) under uncultured bacterium. RNAcentral describes it as "partial 16S ribosomal RNA". It matches the Rfam family "Bacterial small subunit ribosomal RNA", at positions 28 to 507 of the family's 1533-position model. The record is from RNAcentral.
GACGAACGCUGGCGGCGUGCCUAAUACAUGCAAGUCGAGCGGACUGAUUAAGAGCUUGCUCUUAUGACGUUAGCGGCGGACGGGUGAGUAACACGUGGACAACCUGCCCUGUAGAUCGGGAUAACACCGAGAAAUCGGUGCUAAUACCGGGUAAUAUCUGAGAUCACAUGAUCUUAGGUUAAAAGAUGGCUCCGGCUAUCACUACAGGAUGGGCCCGCGGCGCAUUAGCUAGUUGGUAAGGUAAUGGCUUACCAAGGCGACGAUGCGUAGCCGACCUGAGAGGGUGAUCGGCCACACUGGGACUGAGACACGGCCCAGACUCCUAAGGGAGGCAGCAGUAGGGAAUCUUCCGCAAUGGACGAAAGUCUGACGGAGCAACGCCGCGUGAGUGAUGAAGGGUUUCGGCUCGUAAAGCUCUGUUGUUAGGGAAGAAACAGUACCGAACGAACUAGGUCGGUACCUUGACGGUACCUAACCAGAAAGCCACGGCUAACUACGUG